RNAcentral lists this unclassified non-coding RNA (187 nucleotides) under uncultured Verticillium. Its description in RNAcentral is "sequence contains ITS2". Lineage: Eukaryota; Fungi; Ascomycota; Sordariomycetes; Hypocreales. The record is from RNAcentral.
CAACCCUCGAGCCCGACUCUUUUGAGGACGGCUCGGCGUUGGGGGACGGCAGACUCCCCCCGGCAUCUCGCCGGGGACGCCGCCCCCGAAAUCUAGUGGCGGCCCUCCGAGGCGACCUCUGCGUAGUAACUUGUUCUCGCACCGGAAAGCUCAGAGCGGCCACGCCGUAAAACCCCAACUUUUUUCA